CAUUAUAAUUGCUCAUAGCAUCCACGUCUUCGCUAGCCACACUCAAUCCUUAGCUAUAAUAGCUCUCUACUUGGCUAGCUAUACUAGAAAAAUGAACAGUGCUUAGCAUUCAAUUGGCUUUCAGAAGAUUGCGGGAAAAAAAUUGUAAUGGCAUCUGGGUUUUGUCUUUUGUUCUUGGCUUUAAUUCUCCUAGCAAUCAACAAUUAAACGAUGACGAUUCUGUACACGAGUUCAUCUGGAUCUAUGGUGCUAGCAGAGUUUAGCGUAACGAUGACAAACGCAGUCGCGAUUGCUCGAUAAAUAUUGAUUUAACAGUUCAUGGGCUUGCUUUAGAUGGAAUCAAAGUCUUUACAAAUAGGGAGGUGCAAAUUUAUUUUGCAUGAUUCUACAACUUUUCAUGGAAUUUUAACAGCAUGUAGCCAUUGUGUUUUGGUUAAAGGUCACAAAUGCUUUGAUUUAAUGAGAAGUCGAUAUUCAGUUCAGCUAUAAAUUGAGGAUUACAGAGCCAUGGUUGACUCUUGGGUCAAGCUGGGCUUUUAGAAAAGGCUUUUGCCAUGAUCAAAUCAAUGCCAACAAAACCUAGUAAGGGGUUUAGGCUUCACAAAAAGAGACUGUUAUGGAUAAGAAAGGUUGGCUAUAGUGUGAGCUCGGAGAGAGAGAAACAAGGUUUCUAGGCAUAAUUCUUGAAGAUUCAACAACCAGAAGCAUGAGGGUUAUCCAUUAGGGUCAAUGGUUGGUUUUGCAUGUGAUGUUGAUGGAUCUCCAAUAUUAGCACUCAACAGCUUUGCAUUUCAUAUAAAGGUAUGCACAUCAAAGGAUAUAAGUUGUUUCUUCUAGGGUUUUCAGGUGAAAAAUACUGGAAAUUAAAUGAAAAGGUAGAUGUAGUUGUACACAUUUCAUUUUGGAUUUAUGUUUCUUCAAUACAAAUUGGCCUUUGACU
Molecule: long non-coding RNA, 940 nt
Organism: Populus trichocarpa (black cottonwood)
Lineage: Eukaryota; Viridiplantae; Streptophyta; Magnoliopsida; Malpighiales; Salicaceae
Exons: 2
Source: RefSeq, a predicted model, not a curated record